AAUAAUGUCAUCUCUAGGAUCCAAAGCAAAAAUGCUUUCUUUAUAUUCUUGUUUGAGCUCCUCAAAUAACAUGACAUUAGCAAAUAAAUUACUUAUCUGGGACUACAAAAAGAAUGAAACCAUGAUCACAUUAUCUCCAUCGCAGACUUGCAUUAUGUCAUAUGCACGACACAUAAUAUCUAUUAGCUCCUCAAAUAACAUGACAUUAGCAAGUAAAUUACUUAUCUGGGACUACAAAAAGAAUGAAACAAUGAUCACAUUAUCUCCAUCGCAGACUUGCAUUAUGUCAUAUGCACGACCCAUAAUAUCUAUUAUAUGGUAGAUCCUUGUGAUCGAUAAGACAGUAUCUGGAUUGCACCACCAGAUUUCUGGAUAAAGUGAUUCCCUUGACAGGACCACUGAUCUUUCAGAACUUGAUAAACAAA
Molecule: long non-coding RNA, 425 nt
Filed under: Nicotiana benthamiana
Lineage: Eukaryota; Viridiplantae; Streptophyta; Magnoliopsida; Solanales; Solanaceae
Description: long non-coding RNA (NBEN_LNC029977)
Source: RNAcentral